RNAcentral lists this ribosomal RNA (253 nucleotides) under uncultured bacterium. RNAcentral describes it as "partial 16S ribosomal RNA". It matches the Rfam family "Bacterial small subunit ribosomal RNA", at positions 524 to 776 of the family's 1533-position model. The record is from RNAcentral.
UACAGAGGGUGCAAGCGUUAAUCGGAAUUACUGGGCGUAAAGCGUGCGUAGUCGGCUUUUUAAGUCGGGUGUGAAAUCCCCGGGCUCAACCUGGGAAUUGCAUUCGAUACUGGAUAGCUAGAGUUCGGCAGAGGGAAGUGGAAUUUCUGGUGUAGCGGUGAAAUGCGUAGAUAUCAGAAGGAACAUCAGUGGCGAAGGCGACUUCCUGGACCAGAACUGACGAUCAGGCACGAAAGCGUGGGGAGCAAACAGG